This 253-nucleotide ribosomal RNA is filed under the name uncultured bacterium. RNAcentral's name for it is "partial 16S ribosomal RNA". It matches the Rfam family "Bacterial small subunit ribosomal RNA", at positions 524 to 776 of the family's 1533-position model. The record is from RNAcentral.
UACGAGUGGUGCAAGCGUUAUUCGGAAUAACUGGGCGUAUAGGGUGCGUAGACGGCAUAUUAAGUCCGCUGUUAAAUACUUCAGCUCAACUGAAGACAUGCGGUGGAAACUGAUAAGCUAGAGAUUGAAAGAGAGAAGUGGAAUUCCCGGAGUAGCGGUAAAAUGCGUAGAUAUCAGGAGGAACACCAGUGGCGAAGGCGGCUUCCUGGACACCAACUGACGCUGAGACGCGAAAGCGUGGGGAGCAAACAGG